This 449-nucleotide ribosomal RNA is filed under the name uncultured bacterium. RNAcentral describes it as "partial 16S ribosomal RNA". It matches the Rfam family "Bacterial small subunit ribosomal RNA", at positions 354 to 796 of the family's 1533-position model. The record is from RNAcentral.
GUGGGGAAUUUUGGACAAUGGGCGCAAGCCUGAUCCAGCAAUGCCGCGUGCAGGAAGAAGGCCUUCGGGUUGUAAACUGCUUUUGUACGGAACGAAACGGUCCGGGUUAAUACCCUGGGCUAAUGACGGUACCGUAAGAAUAAGCACCGGCUAACUACGUGCCAGCAGCCGCGGUAAUACGUAGGGUGCAAGCGUUAAUCGGAAUUACUGGGCGUAAAGCGUGCGCAGGCGGUUUGUAAGACAGGCGUGAAAUCCCCGGGCUCAACCUGGGAAUUGCGCUUGUGACUGCAAGGCUGGAGUGCGGCAGAGGGGGAUGGAAUUCCGCGUGUAGCAGUGAAAUGCGUAGAUAUGCGGAGGAACACCGAUGGCGAAGGCAAUCCCCUGGGCCUGCACUGACGCUCAUGCACGAAAGCGUGGGGAGCAAACAGGAUUAGAUACCCCUGUAGUCC